AAGUUAGCGGCGGACGGGUGAGUAACACGUGGGCAACCUGCCUGUAAGACUGGGAUAACUUCGGGAAACCGGAGCUAAUACCGGAUAAUCCUUUUCUACUCAUGUAGAAAAGCUGAAAGACGGUUUACGCUGUCACUUACAGAUGGGCCCGCGGCGCAUUAGCUAGUUGGUGAGGUAACGGCUCACCAAGGCGACGAUGCGUAGCCGACCUGAGAGGGUGAUCGGCCACACUGGGACUGAGACACGGCCCAGACUCCUACGGGAGGCAGCAGUAGGGAAUCUUCCGCAAUGGACGAAAGUCUGACGGAGCAACGCCGCGUGAGUGAUGAAGGUUUUCGGAUCGUAAAACUCUGUUGUUAGGGAAGAACAAGUACGAGAGUAACUGCUCGUACCUUGACGGUACCUAACCAGAAAGCCACGGCUAACUACGUGCCAGCAGCCGCGGUAAUACGUAGGUGGCAAGCGUUGUCCGGAAUUAUUGGGCGUAAAGCGCGCGCAGGCGGUCCUUUAAGUCUGAUGUGAAAGCCCACGGCUCAACCGUGGAGGGUCAUUGGAAACUGGGGGACUUGAGUGCAGAAGAGAAGAGUGGAAUUCCACGUGUAGCGGUGAAAUGCGUAGAGAUGUGGAGGAACACCAGUGGCGAAGGCGACUCUUUGGUCUGUAACUGACGCUGAGGCGCGAAAGCGUGGGGAGCAAACAGG
Molecule: ribosomal RNA, 701 nt
Filed under: Bacillus benzoevorans
Lineage: Bacteria; Bacillati; Bacillota; Bacilli; Caryophanales; Bacillaceae
Description: bacterial SSU rRNA
Rfam family: Bacterial small subunit ribosomal RNA
Source: RNAcentral